RNAcentral lists this ribosomal RNA (525 nucleotides) under uncultured bacterium. RNAcentral describes it as "bacterial SSU rRNA". It matches the Rfam family "Bacterial small subunit ribosomal RNA", at positions 777 to 1301 of the family's 1533-position model. The record is from RNAcentral.
AAUAGAUACCCCGGUAGUCCACGCCGUAAACGAUGAGUGCUAAGUGUUAGGGGGGUUUCCGCCCCUUAGUGCUGCAGCUAACGCAUUAAGCACUCCGCCUGGGGAGUACGGUCGCAAGACUGAAACUCAAAGGAAUUGACGGGGGCCCGCACAAGCGGUGGAGCAUGUGGUUUAAUUCGAAGCAACGCGAAGAACCUUACCAGGUCUUGACAUCCUCUGACAACCCUAGAGAUAGGGCUUUCCCUUCGGGGACAGAGUGACAGGUGGUGCAUGGUUGUCGUCAGCUCGUGUCGUGAGAUGUUGGGUUAAGUCCCGCAACGAGCGCAACCCUUGAUCUUAGUUGCCAGCAUUCAGUUGGGCACUCUAAGGUGACUGCCGGUGACAAACCGGAGGAAGGUGGGGAUGACGUCAAAUCAUCAUGCCCCUUAUGACCUGGGCUGCACACGUGCUACAAUGGACAGAACAAAGGGCUGCGAGACCGCAAGGUUUAGCCAAUCCCACAAAUCUGUUCUCAGUUCGGAUCGC